Molecule: ribosomal RNA, 407 nt
Filed under: uncultured Clostridium sp.
Lineage: Bacteria; Bacillati; Bacillota; Clostridia; Eubacteriales; Clostridiaceae
Also listed under: 1 other name
Description: bacterial SSU rRNA
Rfam family: Bacterial small subunit ribosomal RNA
Source: RNAcentral
UGGGGAAUAUUGGACAAUGGGGGGAACCCUGAUCCAGCGACGCCGCGUGAGUGAAGAAGUAUUUCGGUAUGUAAAGCUCUAUCAGCAGGGAAGAAAGAAAUGACGGUACCUGACUAAGAAGCCCCGGCUAACUACGUGCCAGCAGCCGCGGUAAUACGUAGGGGGCAAGCGUUAUCCGGAUUUACUGGGUGUAAAGGGAGCGUAGACGGCGAUGCAAGUCUGAAGUGAAAGGCGGGGGCCCAACCCCCGGACUGCUUUGGAAACUGUAUGGCUGGAGUGCAGGAGAGGUAAGUGGAAUUCCUAGUGUAGCGGUGAAAUGCGUAGAUAUUAGGAGGAACACCAGUGGCGAAGGCGGCUUACUGGACUGUAACUGACGUUGAGGCUCGAAAGCGUGGGGAGCAAACAGG